Long non-coding RNA from Octopus bimaculoides (California two-spot octopus), 660 nucleotides. RefSeq lists it as uncharacterized. The record is from RefSeq and is a predicted model, not a curated record. Lineage: Eukaryota; Metazoa; Mollusca; Cephalopoda; Octopoda; Octopodidae.
GGACCGUUUGAUGUUAGCAUAAUGAUGUUUAAAAUCUGAUAACGUAACGCUUUGUUUAAGAAAUCUUCAAGAUAACUGCUGCACAAAACAUCGGUGAUAUAAUUCUCCAUAUUCUGUUACUUUUAAAAAUCAAAACAAUUUGUGAAAUUGUCAUUGGUCCAAGGCCAUGCUGGGGCACCAUCUUCAAAGAUUUAGUCGAACAAAUCGACGCCAGUACUGAUGUUUCUCUUUUUUUUUUUUCUCUGAGUCCGGUACUUAUUCUACCGGUGUAUUUCACCGAACUUACGGUGGCGUAAACAAACCAGCACCGGUUAUCGAGCGGUAGAGGGAGCAAACACAGACGAAAAUACACACUUAUGCACACACAUACAAUAUGCAUGUGUGUGUACAAUUUGGUUUCAAAUUUUGGCACAAGGCCAGCAAUUUCAGGGAGGAAUAAGUCGAUCACAUCGACCUCAAGCUCGACUGGCACUUAUUUUAUCGACCUCGAAAUGAUGAAAAGCAAAGUCGACCCCGGCGGAAAAUGAACUCAGAACGCAAAGAUGGAAAAAAUACCGCUGACCAAUUUGCCCGGAGGCAGCUGGCUACCCUGUGUAUGCAUAAUUUAUCGUCUCGAACUUAUACCAUUUUAGUGAAUCAAUAAUAAAUCAAUUCUUUUAA